This 250-nucleotide ribosomal RNA is filed under the name uncultured bacterium. RNAcentral's name for it is "partial 16S ribosomal RNA". It matches the Rfam family "Bacterial small subunit ribosomal RNA", at positions 524 to 769 of the family's 1533-position model. The record is from RNAcentral.
UACAGAGGCCCCCAAGCGUUACUGAGAAUCACUGGGUUUAAAGGGUGCGUAGGUGGUCCGUUAAGUCUGUUGUGAAAGCCCUUGGCUCAACCAAGGAAUUGCUUCGGAUACUGGCGGACUUGAGGCUAGUAGAGGUCACUGGAACUGACGGUGGAGCGGUGAAAUGCGUAGAUAUCGUCAGGAACGCCGGUGGUGAAGACGGGUGACUGGGGCUAGUUCGUGACACUGAGGCACUGAAAGCGUGGGGAGC